GCGUGACAAACACAUGGUUGGUGAUCCGACGUGGGAGGCCACGCGGGUGAUCCGCAUGGCUAGCGAUCCGACAGUUCAGAUCACAUCCCCUGCGUAUAGACGACCAAAAUGCAUUUCCUUUUUAGGUGCGAUCGGACGGAUGGGGUUGAUUGCGAUGGAUGGCCCAUAUUCGUUCACGCAAUCAGCCUAAAUGAAAAAUCAUGGAAUGGUACUCCUCGCUCUACGUUGACUCAAAUGAGUGGCCUGGAUCAAUUGGAGAGGAGUAUUUAAAUUCUUAUUCAUAGGGAAUUAAAACCCUAGCCGACAGAGGGGAGAAGAAGAAGAAUGACAGAUGGAAAAAGAACCAGAUGCUGGAUAAGGAGGCCGACCAGUAUCGCUGCCGCACCAAAGCCACCGUUGAUGCCAGAACAAGUAUUUUUUUUUCUUUCCCACUCAGAAUUCAAUCCUGAGUCUCCCUAUACCCAAAUUAAAGCCAAAGGGUCGAUGGGUGAGUCAAAAACUGCGAGUAAAGCUCAACGAAGCCGCCACGGUCAAAACUCAAAACUCAAAACCCUCUCCGAUGACCCCCUUCCUUUUUCCUAUUUCAAGUGAUUUUUUUACCACAUUGUU
Molecule: long non-coding RNA, 609 nt
Filed under: Carica papaya (papaya)
Lineage: Eukaryota; Viridiplantae; Streptophyta; Magnoliopsida; Brassicales; Caricaceae
Description: long non-coding RNA (CPAP_LNC010333)
Source: RNAcentral